RNAcentral lists this transfer RNA (68 nucleotides) under Apostichopus japonicus (Japanese sea cucumber). Its description in RNAcentral is "tRNA-His". Lineage: Eukaryota; Metazoa; Echinodermata; Holothuroidea; Aspidochirotida; Stichopodidae. The record is from RNAcentral.
GAUCUAAAUAGUUUAGUAAAACACUAAUUUGUGGCAUUAGAGACGGCAUAUUGUUUUGCCUUUAGAUC